This 73-nucleotide transfer RNA is filed under the name Tropheryma whipplei. RNAcentral describes it as "tRNA-Lys". It matches the Rfam family "tRNA". From Rfam's summary of the family: Transfer RNA (tRNA) molecules are approximately 80 nucleotides in length. Their secondary structure includes four short double-helical elements and three loops (D, anti-codon, and T loops). The record is from RNAcentral. Lineage: Bacteria; Bacillati; Actinomycetota; Actinomycetes; Micrococcales; Tropherymataceae. RNAcentral also lists the same sequence under 2 other names.
GGGCCUGUAGCUCAGCUGGAAGAGCAUCGGACUUUUAAUCCGCUGGUCGUGGGUUCGAGCCCCACCGGGCCCA